RNAcentral lists this ribosomal RNA (464 nucleotides) under marine sediment bacterium ISA-6182b. RNAcentral's name for it is "bacterial SSU rRNA". It matches the Rfam family "Bacterial small subunit ribosomal RNA", at positions 37 to 483 of the family's 1533-position model. The record is from RNAcentral.
UGGCGGCGUGCCUAAUACAUGCGUCGAGCGAAUGGAUUAAGAGCUUGCUCUUAUGAAGUUAGCGGCGGACGGGUGAGUAACACGUGGGUAACCUGCCCAUAAGACUGGGAUAACUCCGGGAAACCGGGGCUAAUACCGGAUAACAUUUUGAACCGCAUGGUUCGAAAUUGAAAGGCGGCUUCGGCUGUCACUUAUGGAUGGACCCGCGUCGCAUUAGCUAGUUGGUGAGGUAACGGCUCACCAAGGCAACGAUGCGUAGCCGACCUGAGAGGGUGAUCGGCCACACUGGGACUGAGACACGGCCCAGACUCCUACGGGAGGCAGCAGUAGGGAAUCUUCCGCAAUGGACGAAAGUCUGACGGAGCAACGCCGCGUGAGUGAUGAAGGCUUUCGGGUCGUAAAACUCUGUUGUUAGGGAAGAACAAGUGCUAGUUGAAUAAGCUGGCACCUUGACGGUACCUAAC